CCUACGGGCGGUAGCAGUGAGGAAUAUUGGUCAAUGGUCGGGAGACUGAACCAGCCAAGCCGCGUGAGGGAUGAAGGUACAGAGUAUCGUAAACCUCUUUUGUCAGGGAACAAAGGCGGGGACGCGUCCCCGGAUGAGUGUACCUGAAGAAAAAGCAUCGGCUAACUCCGUGCCAGCAGCCGCGGUAAUACGGAGGAUGCGAGCUUUAUCCGGAUAUAUUGGUUUAAAGGGGUGCGCAGGCGGUCUGUUAAGUCAGCGGUAAAAGCCCGGGGCACACCCCCGGCCCGCCGUUGAAACUGGCAGUCUCGAGUUGGAGAGAAGUAUGCGGAAUGCGCGGUGUAGCGGUGAAAUGCAUAGAUAUCGCGCAGAACUCCGAUUGCGAAGGCAGCAUGCCGGCUCCACACUGACGCUGAGGCACGAAAGCGUGGGUAUCGAACAGGAUUAGAUACCCCUGUAGUC
RNAcentral lists this ribosomal RNA (459 nucleotides) under uncultured bacterium. RNAcentral's name for it is "partial 16S ribosomal RNA". It matches the Rfam family "Bacterial small subunit ribosomal RNA", at positions 338 to 795 of the family's 1533-position model. The record is from RNAcentral.